CUGGGCGCAAGGUGCGCCGUGGAUGCAGCCCUGAGCCACGCGAUAGCCCCCUCGAGACCACCUGGGGUAGGAACACGAGGCUCGGGCUGGGGCGCACCUAUUCCCUGCUUCCAGAUGAGCCCUCUCCAGGCUUUAUCUCCUUCCCAUUUUGGCCUCCUUUACCUCCUCCCCCUCCCCGCCCUCUCCCUUUAGGCUAUCGAGGGGCUUUUCCUUGACCUUCGGCUUCCUGAAUCCCGCCUGGAGCCCUGGAGCUCCAAAAGGACAGACCCAAGCCUCAGAGACCCCUGGGCUCCUCUUCCUCUCCUGACCCCAGCCAAGGAAGGGAUGGAGAUGGGAAAGAGUUGCCUGGCGGCAGGCUAGCAGCUGGCCAAGGGGUGGCUGGGGAAUCAGACCUAACCCUCGGGCAGCUCGCGGGCUCCAGGAGACCAGUCCCUUCUGUGGGUCGCCCCCUGGAGCGGUGCUCGGGCUCCCUGGCCUCAGGGACCCCGGGCCCAGAGGGUCUGGGACCCCAGUGAUUCACCGAGGCCUCCCAGCUGGGACGCUCUGCACCCCACUUUCAGGGAUCACGGGUGCCCACCAGGGAAGGGGAGCCCGCGCUGUGGGCUACGUCUGAGCCGUCAGGUCCUCGCUGGGUCUGCGGGCGCCCUGGGGCGAGGGAGCGGGGAGCCCUACCCCGAGCAGGCACUCUCCCCAGAUUCAUUUUGGAAACCAAGGCCCCCGCGCUCGGCAAGUGAGCCUGGCUGCCGGGUGAGUCACCGCGAGCGGGCGACAAGGAUUCCCAGCAGCUGAUGGGAAAACUUCCAGCAAGACAGGAUCACGUGCCCAGGAUCCCACAGUGAUUCCGAUGUGGAGCCAGCCCUGGAAGCCUCUCCGUGGCUUAAGGACCCCCGCUGCUUUCUGGCCCCAAGCUUAGAGUGCCUUGAGUGGCCACCUACCAGCCCCCAGACCCUGGUUCUUCCUCUCUUCCACCCGUGGGAAUAGACCCGUGGACUCAGGACCUCCCAGGCAGUGUCUGAGCCGUGGAAGCAGAGGGUUCCUCGUCCGCCCGUCCACACCCCACAUGUGCCACUUUCCAAGGCGCUGGACCUGCGGGUGGAAUGGGAGCUCCUGGGAGCAAAGCCUGGGGCUCAAUCAAGCAUCCUCCCUACAUCCCCAGCAUCCAUCCCGGAUGGUGUGUGCCACACAGCAGCCCAGAGAGUCUGGCUGGGGGCAGCGCCUCUGCGUGCCUGCCUCCCUGGCAGCCCGGGUGGGUCUGGGUGUCCCAACUCUAGCCCCACCUCGAGAAGCGUGUGGAACUGAGGUGUGGCCAAUCAGAGUCCAGAAUUCCCCAGAGCCACGGUGAUUGGCUGGAUUUGGACGUGUGAAGGCCCACCUCAACCAAUCAGAGCCCUCCUCUGGGUAGGGCUGUCAGCAGAUAGGUGACCUGAGGAGGGAGGCGGGUCCUUCCCGACUCUUUGAGAACCCCAAUGCAGGCACGUGGCGCACACGCGAGCCACCCAACUGGGGUGAGCAAGUGCAUUCUCUUGUGGGCUUAAGCCACAGUCAGUUGGUCCCAAGCCUGUCCGGUGCUCCUGGUGCCCAUGCGCUGUGUUUACAGCCUGUCUGCGCCCUCCAGCAGCCCCAACAUGGGCCUCCCUUGGACCUCAGUUUCUGUAAAAACAGAUGUACCUUAUUAGCUAAUAAAGAACAUCAUGGUUUUAUAACUCUAUC
This 1710-nucleotide long non-coding RNA is filed under the name Homo sapiens (human). Its description in RNAcentral is "HSALNT0144823". Lineage: Eukaryota; Metazoa; Chordata; Mammalia; Primates; Hominidae. The record is from RNAcentral.